UACAGAGGCCUCGAGCGUUAGGCGGAAUCACUGGGCUUAAAGCGCGUGUAGGCGGGUCGUUAAGUACCUUGUGAAAUCCCACGGCUCAACCGUGGAACUGCUGGGUAUACUGGCGAUCUUGGGCCAUCUAGGGGUUGCCGGAACAAGCGGUGGAGCGGUGAAAUGCGUAGAUAUCGCUUGGAACGCCAAAGGUGAAGACAGGCAACUGGAGAUGUGCCGACGCUGAGACGCGAAAGCCAGGGGAGCGAACGGG
This 253-nucleotide ribosomal RNA is filed under the name uncultured bacterium. Its description in RNAcentral is "partial 16S ribosomal RNA". It matches the Rfam family "Bacterial small subunit ribosomal RNA", at positions 524 to 776 of the family's 1533-position model. The record is from RNAcentral.